UCCAAACUAAAAUCAAACACUGACUCUAAGACGACAUACAUACUUGACGUGCAAAGACAUCAGACAAACAAACGACAGACUCAAAAAUAUAAAACUACAAGCACGGACUGUGCAUACUCUAAAGCCUCAAAUACUGGUGCCUGUGGGGCAUCAUUCGGCCUCGCGGCGGGCCUAGGAUCCAAAUCCCUUUCGAGUUGCUCUAAUUAGUUCAUGGUUUGCUUUACAUAGAUAAUUACUGUUGGGACAAAAGUAGAAUAGGUCAUAUUUUCACAAAUCUGUGACCUUUUAAAAAUGGCACGAGAAAUGGCUCUAAUCACUGCAUGUCUUUAACGCCUGAGGGUCCUGCAUGUGUUGAUCCUGCAGCUGCCGCACUUCUACCUCCAUUUGGGCCAACCGGUCAUAACAAUGUUCACUUUCAAUUUCUAAAUCUCUAGCAUGCUUAACCGAUUUAUUCUCAAACGCAACCACCUUUCUCUUCAGAUUGGCAACAAUUCUCUCGUGAUCCCUUUUCACCUGAUUCAAACAUUGGCGACGCUCCUCUGUUUUUGUAGCCCACUGUGCUUUGAGUUCUGGCGUGACAUUCUCAGAUUUUUCUGAUUCAUAUCAACAUUCCCUGACUUUAUUUUCCAACCCUUUUAUCAAUCGCUCAUCUGAUCGACUCCUUGGUUGUUUAUCCACGACUAUUCUCAACUGCCGGAUUUGGGAUCUAAGUGUUUCAUUUUCUCGAGCCAGCCUGUUCUUCUCACGCUGAUGCGCGGCAACUUGCACACUAUUCUCAAAUUUCAUACUUUUAUCUUGCUGCUUCAACUUCCCGAUUUCAUCCCGGUAACCUUCUUCCUUAACCAAUCCCACUGCUCUUGGGACGACUCGGCGAAAUCUUCGAGAUGAGGUAUUUUAGCUGGUCUCUCGCAUGACACAUCACCUCUGAACCAAUCAUCAUACCCAAGGGCAACUUCCCCUUUAGACCUAUCUUACACACAAGUGUUCACCAUCAAAUGGUGACACUCACUCCAGAUCUGGCAAACUUCUUCUUCGGGAUAUCGACCAUAAGGACUAAUUUCGACCACCUGGGUACUCAGAUCUUCAACUUUCAGCACUGCUUGAUAUCUCCCAAGUUUCCUCAGAACCCGAUAUGGUCCGUAGGGUUAAGUCUCAUCAACAAAAAGUGGGGCCUGGCUGCUGCCAUAUAUAUGAUUUCUUCGACAGGCAACCAUCCGAGCGCCCACUGUAUCUAGCUGGCAGUGAGGGUCCGAAAUAAUGAUGUCUAGGCCGCAACUCCUUCAGGUAGACUAGCCCAUUUGAUUCUUAUGUAAUAUUCUCCUAUACAAGUGUUCUCAGAUGAAACAUAACUCAGAGCUGGGAGCGGUUUCAUAAUUGCUCGAUCAUCCACAUUUGUAAUAACAAGUUACAUCCCUAAAAAUAUUUGCCCCCAGUUUUGCAAGCAGUGAGAGCCCGGAAGAUGUCAGCCACGAUCAUAGGCGCCAAAGUGCUUUUUU
This 1496-nucleotide long non-coding RNA is filed under the name Nicotiana benthamiana. RNAcentral's name for it is "long non-coding RNA (NBEN_LNC023465)". The record is from RNAcentral. Lineage: Eukaryota; Viridiplantae; Streptophyta; Magnoliopsida; Solanales; Solanaceae.